UGCACCAUGAUACUUCAUUUGUAUGAACAUUGACCCAUUGUCCUCAUCUGGGACCCCUGCCUGCACCAUCUAGUGGUCUCAUAAUGAAAUUACACUAAUUUGGGAAAAAAACAAGAUGGCUGGGAUCUCAAUGAAAGUGGCAGCUCCCGACAGAAAUAUGGACACGAGAGUCAUGGGUGGAGUCAUCGGUCAUCGGAUGUGUUUGGACUGAACUUCUCCCUCUGACAGUAAAAGUGUUGGAAGCAGUUGGAGGAAAAGGAGGCCAAACCUGGAGACGUGAUGUGUUUCUGUUUUUCGUGUAAGUGGAUCCGGUGUUGUUGUGUUGGUGAUGGAAACGACACUCAAGUCGUGACAGUCGGGUUGGGUUCAGGCUCCACCGGUGUUGGUGUUGGUGGUGGAAACAUCUCUCACCUCGGGAAACAAGCAGGCUGUAUCAACAGCACCGGUGGUCAUCCUGUUGUCAACAACACCUACUACAACCAUGCAUGGCAAUAACGGCUGAUGAAGGCUGCAGCAGGAUUGGGGUUCGGUUCCUGGGAUCUCUGGCAGAAACUGCUAUGGUCGUUGUGAAAAACGAUCUGGCAUACAAUCCUACUACUGCUGUAAUUUAGCAGACGCUUUAUCCAAAUCAACAUCUGAGCCACUAGACUACCACUCCCCCGUCCAUCAGUCUUAUUUCAUAAAGUUUGGUCAAAUCCACAUGACCUAACUUCAGAAAUGAAGGUUCCAAUUCAGACUUAUUAGAAACAACUUAAUCAAUAAUGUUUUCUUCUUCAACUGAGGAAGAGCAUGAUGUUUAUGUCAAAGAAAUCAAAUAUUUGAUAUGAUGUAAACACAAAUAUGAUUGAGGCUGAUCAGAUGAAUCAAUAAUAAAAUUCAUGCAAUAAAAAUGA
This is a long non-coding RNA of Cololabis saira (Pacific saury), 893 nucleotides long. RefSeq lists it as uncharacterized. The transcript is spliced from 6 exons. NCBI's taxonomy places the organism in Eukaryota, Metazoa, Chordata, Actinopteri, Beloniformes, Belonidae. The record is from RefSeq and is a predicted model, not a curated record.